RNAcentral lists this long non-coding RNA (420 nucleotides) under Bos taurus (domestic cattle). RNAcentral's name for it is "long non-coding RNA NONBTAT025799". The record is from RNAcentral. Lineage: Eukaryota; Metazoa; Chordata; Mammalia; Artiodactyla; Bovidae.
CUUUCUAGAAAACAACCCCAAAAUAGUUCACUUAUGCUUUUUUGAAGACAGGGUCAUCCCAUAUUAAGAAACCCUGUUGUAUACACUGUAAGAUUUCUGGCACAAAAACAAAAAAGAGAAAGAGAGAGAAUCCUCUAGCAGCUAUUUGCACUAGAAGCCAGACCUCUAGGCAAGGGUCAUUUUUUAGCCAUGCUAGGAUUUACUGCAGAAACAAUGCCGUUUAGCUGGCAUAGCUGUGCAUGUAAGCAGAGCACUCCAUCCGUGUUUCUCAUCCCGGUAUGUAAAGGACAGAGUUCACAUGAAGCACACUUUUUUUUUGGCCUCACAAUUUUACCUCACAACUACGCUGUUGGUCGUAGCCCUAGUCAGUGUCCUGAGGAUCACUGCAUGGCUUAACCACAAACACGACUGCUAACUAUC